UGGGGAAUAUUGCACAAUGGGCGCAAGCCUGAUGCAGCAACGCCGCGUGAGGGACGACGGCCUUCGGGUUGUAAACCUCUUUUAGUAGGGAAGAAGCGAAAGUGACGGUACCUGCAGAAAAAGCACCGGCUAACUACGUGCCAGCAGCCGCGGUAAUACGUAGGGUGCGAGCGUUGUCCGGAAUUAUUGGGCGUAAAGAGCUCGUAGGCGGUCUGUCGCGUCUGCUGUGAAAACCCGAGGCUCAACCUCGGGCCUGCAGUGGGUACGGGCAGACGUAGAGUGCGUAGGGGAGAAUGGAAUUCCUGGUGUAGCGGUGGAAUGCGCAGAUAUCAGGAGGAACACCGAUGGCGAAGGCAGUUCUCUGGGCCGUAACUGACGCUGAGGAGCGAAAGCGUGGGAGCGAACAGGAUUAGAUACCCUGGUAGUCCACGCCGUAAACGUUGGGCGCUAGAUGUGGGGCACCAUUCCACGGUUUCCGUGUC
This 482-nucleotide ribosomal RNA is filed under the name uncultured bacterium. RNAcentral describes it as "partial 16S ribosomal RNA". It matches the Rfam family "Bacterial small subunit ribosomal RNA", at positions 355 to 847 of the family's 1533-position model. The record is from RNAcentral.